CCAGACUCCUACGGGAGGCAGCAGUGGGGAAUAUUGCACAAUGGGGGGAACCCUGAUGCAGCGACGCCGCGUGGGUGAAGGAGCACCUCGGUGCGUAAAGCCCUAUCGGCAGGGAAGAAACAGACGGUACCUGACUAAGAAGCCCCGGCUAACUACGUGCCAGCAGCCGCGGUAAUACGUAGGGGGCAAGCGUUAUCCGGAUUCACUGGGUGUAAAGGGAGCGUAGACGGCGACGCAAGUCUGGAGUGAAAGCCCGGGGCCCAACCCCGGGACUGCUCUGGAAACUGUGCUGCUGGAGUGCAGGAGAGGCAAGUGGAAUUCCUAGUGUAGCGGUGAAAUGCGUAGAUAUUAGGGGGAACACCAGUGGCGAAGGCGGCUUGCUGGACUGUAACUGACGUUGAGGCUCGAAAGCGUGGGGAGCAAACAGGAUUAGAUACCCCCGUAGGG
This 447-nucleotide ribosomal RNA is filed under the name uncultured bacterium. Its description in RNAcentral is "bacterial SSU rRNA". It matches the Rfam family "Bacterial small subunit ribosomal RNA", at positions 331 to 795 of the family's 1533-position model. The record is from RNAcentral.